AGGUGGGAUUGUAUUCAUCAAAUACCCCUGGGGCUACACUGCUGGAUCUGCCAAUCUCACCAGCUUCCCUCUUGCCACCUUCAGCAGCACAGGCUGAAAAAUGUAGACUCACUUUCUCAGUUUCUGCUGUAGCAGGGAAGGUCAUGUGCCCAUAUUAUGGCCAGUGUGCUGUAACUUGAGGUCUCUCAGUGCUUUCCUGACAGAGUCUGAUAAUUGGAACCAACUUGCCUCUUCUUUCUGCUUUGAGUAUGGGGCAGCAGGAACCAAUUUGCAACCAUAAGGUUCUAGAGGCCAGAAGUCUGAAAACAACAUGUUGGCAUGGCCACACUCCCUCUGAAGUCACCAGGAGAGAAUCCACUCCUCGCCUCCCUCACUUUCUGGUAACUGUCAGAAUUUCUUGGUUUUUAUUGGAAUCGCUCCAAUCUUCAAGGCCAGCAUCUUCAAAGCUUCUCCUGUGUGAUUGUCUGACUAAUAUUCCUCUCUCUCUUUCAUGUUUUUAUCAAGUAGAUUUGAAGAGAUAACUGUGACUGACUGGAUUCCGCCAUAUCUGUGGCUACCCUGAGAUCCCACAGUUUGAUGUUGGAGAAAAGAUAGAAUUCUAUGUCCUUCAUAUACAACAUCAUUUAAGAACAA
This is a long non-coding RNA of Neofelis nebulosa (Clouded leopard), 633 nucleotides long. RefSeq lists it as uncharacterized. The record is from RefSeq and is a predicted model, not a curated record. NCBI's taxonomy places the organism in Eukaryota, Metazoa, Chordata, Mammalia, Carnivora, Felidae. The transcript is spliced from 3 exons.